AACGAACGCUGGCGGCAUGCCUAACACAUGCAAGUCGAACGAGACCUUCGGGUCUAGUGGCGCACGGGUGCGUAACGCGUGGGAACCUGCCCUUAGGUUCGGAAUAACUCCCCGAAAGGGGUGCUAAUACCGGAUAAUGUCUUCGGACCAAAGAUUUAUCGCCUUUGGAUGGGCCCGCGUUGGAUUAGCUAGUUGGUAGGGUAAAAGCCUACCAAGGAGACGAUCCAUAGCUGGUCGGAGAGGAUGAUCAUCCACACUGGGACUGAGACACGGCCCAGACUCCGACGGGAGGCAGCAGUGGGGAAUAUUGGACAAUGGGCGAAAGUCUGAUACAGCAAUGCCGCGUGAGUGAUGAAGGCCUUAGGGUUGUAAAGCUCUUUUACACGGGAUGAUAAUGACAGUACCGGGAGAAUAAGCUCCGGCUAACUCCGUG
This 433-nucleotide ribosomal RNA is filed under the name uncultured bacterium. RNAcentral's name for it is "partial 16S ribosomal RNA". It matches the Rfam family "Bacterial small subunit ribosomal RNA", at positions 29 to 507 of the family's 1533-position model. The record is from RNAcentral.